This 101-nucleotide ribosomal RNA is filed under the name Cronobacter sakazakii. RNAcentral's name for it is "partial 16S ribosomal RNA". It matches the Rfam family "Bacterial small subunit ribosomal RNA", at positions 1 to 101 of the family's 1533-position model. The record is from RNAcentral. Lineage: Bacteria; Pseudomonadati; Pseudomonadota; Gammaproteobacteria; Enterobacterales; Enterobacteriaceae.
UAAUUGAAGAGUUUGAUCAUGGCUCAGAUUGAACGCUGGCGGCAGGCCUAACACAUGCAAGUCGAACGGUAACAGGGAGCAGCUUGCUGCUCUGCUGACGA